UACGGAGGGGGCUAGCGUUGUUCGGAAUUACUGGGCGUAAAGCGCACGUAGGCGGGCUGUUAAGUCAGUGGUGAAAUCCCGGGGCUCAACCUCGGAAUUGCCUUUGAUACUGGCAGCCUUGAGUCCGGGAGAGGUGAGUGGAAUUCCGAGUGUAGAGGUGAAAUUCGUAGAUAUUCGGAGGAACACCAGUGGCGAAGGCGGCUCACUGGCCCGGUACUGACGCUGAGGUGCGAAAGCGUGGGGAGCAAACAGG
RNAcentral lists this ribosomal RNA (253 nucleotides) under uncultured Alphaproteobacteria bacterium. RNAcentral's name for it is "partial 16S ribosomal RNA". It matches the Rfam family "Bacterial small subunit ribosomal RNA", at positions 524 to 776 of the family's 1533-position model. Lineage: Bacteria; Pseudomonadati; Pseudomonadota; Alphaproteobacteria. The record is from RNAcentral.